AGUGAACGCUGGCGAUAGGCCUAACACAUGCAAGUCGAACGGCAGCACAGUAAGAGCUUGCUCUUACGGGUGGCGAGUGGCGGACGGGUGAGGAAUACAUCGGAAUCUACUUUUUCGUGGGGGAUAACGUAGGGAAACUUACGCUAAUUCCGCAUACGACCUACGGGUGAAAGCAGGGGAUCUUCGGACCUUGCGCGAUUGAAUGAGCCGAUGUCGGAUUAGCUAGUUGGCGGGGUAAAGGCCCACCAAGGCGACGAUCCGUAGCUGGUCUGAGAGGAUGAUCAGCCACACUGGAACUGAGACACGGUCCAGACUCCUACGGGAGGCAGCAGUGGGGAAUAUUGGACAAUGGGCGCAAGCCUGAUCCAGCCAUACCGCGUGGGUGAAGAAGGCCUUCGGGUUGUAAAGCCCUUUUGUUGGGAAAGAAAAGCAGCAGGUUAAUACCCCGCUGUUCUGACGGUACCCAAAGAAUAAGCACCGGCUAACUUCGUG
RNAcentral lists this ribosomal RNA (492 nucleotides) under uncultured bacterium. RNAcentral's name for it is "partial 16S ribosomal RNA". It matches the Rfam family "Bacterial small subunit ribosomal RNA", at positions 29 to 507 of the family's 1533-position model. The record is from RNAcentral.